CAGUCGCCACGGUAACACGUAGGGUGCGAGCGUUAAUCGGAGUUACUGGGCGUAAAGCGUGCGCAGGCGGUUCGUUAAGACAGAUGUGAAAUCCCCGGGCUUAACCUGGGAACUGCAUUUGUGACUGGCGAGCUAGAGUAUGGCAGAGGGGGGUAGAAUUCCACGUGUAGCAGUGAAAUGCGUAGAGAUGUGGAGGAAUACCGAUGGCGAAGGCAGCCCCCUGGGCCAAUACUGACGCUCAUGCACGAAAGCGUGGGGAGCAAACAGGAUUAGAUACCCCGGUAGUCCCUGUCUCUUAACA
This 301-nucleotide ribosomal RNA is filed under the name uncultured bacterium. RNAcentral describes it as "partial 16S ribosomal RNA". It matches the Rfam family "Bacterial small subunit ribosomal RNA", at positions 509 to 808 of the family's 1533-position model. The record is from RNAcentral.